This 468-nucleotide ribosomal RNA is filed under the name uncultured bacterium. RNAcentral's name for it is "partial 16S ribosomal RNA". It matches the Rfam family "Bacterial small subunit ribosomal RNA", at positions 28 to 507 of the family's 1533-position model. The record is from RNAcentral.
GACGAACGCUGGCGGCGUGCUUAACACAUGCAAGUCGAACGGAAAGGCCCUGCUUUUGUGGGGUGCUCGAGUGGCGAACGGGUGAGUAACACGUGAGUAACCUGCCCUUGACUUUGGGAUAACUUCAGGAAACUGGGGCUAAUACCGGAUAGGAGCUCCUGCUGCAUGGUGGGGGUUGGAAAGUUUCGGCGGUUGGGGAUGGACUCGCGGCUUAUCAGCUUGUUGGUGGGGUAGUGGCUUACCAAGGCUUUGACGGGUAGCCGGCCUGAGAGGGUGACCGGCCACAUUGGGACUGAGAUACGGCCCAGACUCCUACGGGAGGCAGCAGUGGGGAAUAUUGCACAAUGGGCGGAAGCCUGAUGCAGCAACGCCGCGUGCGGGAUGAUGGCCUUCGGGUUGUAAACCGCUUUCGCCUGUGACGAAGCGUGAGUGACGGUAAUGGGUAAAGAAGCACCGGCUAACUACGUG